AGCGAACGCUGGCGGCGUGCCUAACACAUGCAAGUCGAACGUGAAAGGGAGCAAUCCCAAGUAAAGUGGCGUACGGGUGAGUAACACGUAGGUAAUCUACCCCAGAAUCUGGAAUAACCGGCCGAAAGGCUGGCUAAUACUGGAUAGAGCGACGGAAUCCGUAAUUGGGUUUUUCGGGAAAGGGAGCCUGUAAAAAGGCCUUCGUUCUGGGAUGAGCCUGCGUCCCAUCAGCUAGUUGGUGAGGUAAAAGCUUACCAAGGCAAUGACGGGUAGCUGGUCUGGGAGGACGAUCAGCCAAACUGGAACUGAAACACGGUCCAGACUCCUACGGGAGGCAGCAGUGGGGAAUCUUGCGCAAUGGACGAAAGUCUGACGCAGCAACGCCGCGUGAGUGAAGAAGGCCUUCGGGUUGUAAAGCUCUGUCGAGUGGGACGAAAAUGCUUGGAGUUCACAGCUCCAGGAACUGACGGUACCACUAAAGGAAGCACCGGCUAACUCCGUG
This 502-nucleotide ribosomal RNA is filed under the name uncultured bacterium. RNAcentral describes it as "partial 16S ribosomal RNA". It matches the Rfam family "Bacterial small subunit ribosomal RNA", at positions 29 to 507 of the family's 1533-position model. The record is from RNAcentral.